ACAGCAGGACGGUGGUCAUGGAAGUCGAAAUCCGCUAAGGAGUGUGUAACAAUUCACCUGCCGAAUGAACUAGCCCUGAAAAUGGAUGGCGCUAAAGCGUGCGACUUAUACUCAGCCAUCAGCGCGAGACGUAUGUGCUGAUGAGUAGGAGGGCGUGAUGCUCGUAUCGAAGCCUUGGGCGUGAGCCUGGGUGAAACGUGCAUUAGUGCAGAUCUUGGUGGUAGUAGCAACUAUUCAAAUGAGAACUUUGAAGACUGAAGCGGAGAAAGGUUCCAUGUGAACAGCAAUUGGACAUGGGUUAGUCGAUCCUAAGGCUCAGAGUAACUCCGUUAUAAGGCGGGCUUUUUUCGGAAAGCCCCGGUGGCCGAAAGGGAAGAAGGUUAAAAUUCCUUCACCUGGACGUGGAUAACGAGUGGUAACACAAGCAAAACUGGAGACGUCGGCUGGAGUCCCGGGAAGAGUUCUCUUUUCUUGUUAACAGUUCCGCAGGCCCUGGAAUCGGAUUAUCCGGCGAUAGGGUCUGGUGGCUGGGAAAGCAGCUUAAUCUUUGAGCUGUCCGGUGCUCUCCAGACGGCCCUUGAAAAUCCGGUGGCGUGACUUAUUUACACCCCAGGUCGUACUCAUAACCGCAUCAGGUCUCCAAGGUGAGUAGCCUCUAGUCGAUAGAGUAAUGUGGAUAAGGGAAGUCGGCAAAAUAGAUCUGUAACUUAGGGAAAAAGAUUGGGUCUGAGGGUUGGGCCUAGGGGUCUUGGGAACGAAGGAGUAACCUGUGGGCUGUGGCUGCGUAUCUUCACGGAAGCGCGGCUUGGCACGCUGGCCUCUAGAGGGCCCGAGGACGCCUUGUACUUGUACUUGGCUUUCCCUAGUGCGUGGAACAACCAACUCAGAACUGGAGCGGACAAGGGGAAUCCGACUGUUUAAUUAAAACAAAGCAUUGCGAAGGCCGGAGACGGUGUUGACGCAAUGUGAUUUCUG
Molecule: ribosomal RNA, 975 nt
Filed under: Asterionellopsis glacialis
Lineage: Eukaryota; Bacillariophyta; Plagiogrammaphyceae; Rhaphoneidales; Asterionellopsidaceae
Description: partial Eukaryotic large subunit ribosomal RNA
Rfam family: Eukaryotic large subunit ribosomal RNA
Source: RNAcentral